AAGAUGCUGAGCUACAGAGCACCUCUCAGGCUCUGACAUAGAGCUGGGACAGCUAGGGAGCUCUCUGGUCCACUCAGGCUGCUGGUGGAUUUAGGUAGUGUCCACAUGCCACUUGAGGUGUCCUACCUGUUCUGUUCCACCUAUUCCUGGGCCAUGUGGUGGAGUUGCUGUGGAUCCCUCGCCUCGGGAGGAAGGUGCCAACCAGAGGUCAGGAGUCACUAAUCGACCGCUUAUUACUUAUGCCCAGGGCCGGCCCUGCCCUUGGUAAUGGUUUCGCUGCCCAAGCCUGUGAUUGCAUCCCCUGCCUACCUCUGUCCCCCAUGCUCAGUAACUGGAAUCUGUCCCUGCAGACACACUGUAGAGCAGGGCCGGCUGGUUACUGCGCCCUGGGGUCAGGCUGCUCGCCCUGGCUGCUCACUCUUUUAGAGGACUCACUGGAGAGUUAUAUGUACUGUACACAGUUUGCAUGUGGGAGUUUUUUGUUUGUAUAGCUAUAUCACUUACUGCAUAUCAGCAUUUGGACUCACAUCUGUAGUGUUAAGGCAGGAGUGGCCGGCGCAGUGACAUUGAUUACAUUGUAAUGUGUAAUACAACACCUCAUGGUGGAUCCAUGAGGUGAACCAGUGAACAUCACAUUUAGAUUUGAAUCAUUUAGCUGAUGCUCUUGUCAAGAGUGACUUACAGGUAGCUAGGUGGGAGAACCACAUAUCACAAGUAGCUAUCAGUAGAGUCAGAGCUAAAGAAGGGGGGGGGGGGAUUAUUUAAGAGCGUUUGAAGAGGAAGGGUUUCAGAUGUUUUCGGAAGUUGGGCAGGGUAUGUAUGUGUGAACCACGCAACACUUGCAAAUAAAGAACCAUCAACUCCA
This is a long non-coding RNA of Oncorhynchus gorbuscha (pink salmon), 865 nucleotides long. RefSeq lists it as uncharacterized. Lineage: Eukaryota; Metazoa; Chordata; Actinopteri; Salmoniformes; Salmonidae. The transcript is spliced from 2 exons. The record is from RefSeq and is a predicted model, not a curated record.